This is a long non-coding RNA of Leptopilina heterotoma, 932 nucleotides long. RefSeq lists it as uncharacterized. The record is from RefSeq and is a predicted model, not a curated record. The transcript is spliced from 6 exons. Lineage: Eukaryota; Metazoa; Arthropoda; Insecta; Hymenoptera; Figitidae.
GCUUUCUUUACAUAGGAAUUUUUUAUUAGGUAAACAAAAAAAGAGAGAAAUUGUUAAGUCUCUAUUGUAAACAAGGAAGACAACGACCUUCGGCAUUGUUAAUAGAGGUUGUUUUCAUUCUGUCCUUGUCUAUCUUUUUGACAACGGCAAUAAAAUUACAGAAUUGAAAUUGAGCCCUUUCCCCUUCUUCUUCUACUCUUUGUGGGUGAUUCCUGAUGCCUUUUAUACCUGAGUGACUUUGCCGAAGCUUCACUCUGUUUAUCGCCGUCUUUUAUAGAGCAAUCAUGAAAGUGAGUGGCCUAUAGGAAAGUGCUACAAAUCAUUUAUUUUUCACCUAUUGUAAAAGAAUAUUUACUCAUGGAAUUCUAAAAAAUAAUUGUUGAAUUUAAAAUAAUUUAUCUUCUGUCUGGAAGAAAUGGUACUACGAACAUGAAAAGAAAAUUUGUAUUGUCAAUUAUCUAGAUAUAGGAAUUUACAAACAAAAAAAUGUAGUUACUUUAGAUAGGAAAUUUAAAAAAUUAGUUGCUAAUUUUAAGUAGUACAAAAUAAUUUAAGUUGCAAGAGCAUUCAAGAUUCAGCAUCAACUUUAUGGAAAAAUUCAUUCACAGAGGACGAGGGACACAUCGCACUCUAGUCUUGAGAGGGAACAUAAAGGAAAGAGUAUUCAACAGGACACUAAAGUUGUACUUUGAAUCUUCGUUCUUAACAUUAUAAAGGAAGAGGAAACAAAAGAUGAAAAGUGUUUCGGCGUCAACUUUAGCAACAUUCUUCGUUCUGAAAAGGAGGGGAAUCACCUGAAAUGCAGAGGGAUGGUUCAAGUCUGAUGCUACCUUUGGAUCGACAACAGUUAUUUUGCGUUAAUUUAAGAAGAAAGAAGAAUUACAAAAAAAAUGUACUUUUUUUAAGAAGUAAAAUAAAAGUUUUUUCUAAAA